Molecule: long non-coding RNA, 609 nt
Organism: Capsella rubella
Lineage: Eukaryota; Viridiplantae; Streptophyta; Magnoliopsida; Brassicales; Brassicaceae
Exons: 2
Source: RefSeq, a predicted model, not a curated record
AAGAGUCUAAAACAGAGCAUCCAGUGAAAUGUUUAACGUAAAAUGAGUAUUUGGGGACUUUGUGGCCAAAAAAAAAAAAGCGUUGACUAAAGAUAUGGAAGGCAAUCAAAUCCGUAGAGUCAUUAGAUGGUACACUAAUCGGGUAAUACUAGUAUGUUCCGUUCUAUAAUAUUAGCAUAUAAAUUUAGCUUACUAGGAAGUAAGAGAUUAGCAAAAUGGAAUGAGAGAGGAUUAAAAAGAGGGAAAGCUAGUGCUCUGUUUUUAGGGUUGUUUGAUUUUAAUGUAGGUUUGAUGUGGUGACCCACUCUGAUACUAAUGGUUUUUGGCAACUUUAUUUAAGUGGAUUUUUCGCGACUUUUGUUUUUUUUUUUUUGUUGGUUCUUGUUGUUGUGUGUGUGUGCGUGUUACUUGUUAGGAUCAAAAAAACCUUUUUUGGUUCUAUCUCCAUUUGUUCAUAUUGGCACCUUGGGUGAUCCAUCCACUGAACUAGAUUUUUUGGUUUUCCUUUUUCGGUGAUAUAAUGAAAGUUAUACUUUACUUAUCACUCCACUUCAAAUUAAUGUAUUCUUCUUCUUCUUAGACCUAUGAGUAUGACCAGAUACAUGCUUA